This 443-nucleotide ribosomal RNA is filed under the name uncultured bacterium. Its description in RNAcentral is "partial 16S ribosomal RNA". It matches the Rfam family "Bacterial small subunit ribosomal RNA", at positions 338 to 795 of the family's 1533-position model. The record is from RNAcentral.
CCUACGGGAGGCAGCAGUGGGGGAUAUUGGUCAAUGGGGGAAACCCUGAACCAGCAACGCCGCGUGAGGGAAGACGGCCUUCGGGUUGUAAACCUAAGUGAUCAGGGAUGAAACAAAUGACAGUACCUGAAAAGCAAGCUCCGGCUAACUACGUGCCAGCAGCCGCGGUAAUACGUAGGGAGCAAGCGUUGUCCGGAUUUACUGGGUGUAAAGGGUGCGUAGGCGGGAACACAAGUCAGGCGUGAAAUACCGGGGCUCAACUCCGGGGCUGCGCUUGAAACUGUGUUUCUUGAGUGAAGUAGAGGCAUGCGGAAUGCGCGGUGUAGCGGUGAAAUGCAUAGAUAUCGCGCAGAACCCCGAUUGCGAAGGCAGCGUGCCGUGCCGCCACUGACGCUGAGGCACGAAAGCGCGGGGAUCGAACAGGAUUAGAUACCCUUGUAGUC